UACGGGGGGAGCAAGCGUUGUUCGGAUUUACUGGGCGUAAAGGGUGCGUAGGUGGCCUAAAAAGUUUGAUGUGAAAGCUCAGGGCUUAACCCUGAAAUGGCGUUGAAUACUGUUGGGCUGGAGGUUUGGAGGGGGGACUGGAAUUCUUGGUGUAGCAGUGAAAUGCGUAGAUAUCAAGAGGAACACCAGUGGCGAAGGCGAGUCCCUGGACAACACCUGACACUGAGGCACGAAAGCCGGGGGAGCAAACAGG
This 253-nucleotide ribosomal RNA is filed under the name uncultured bacterium. RNAcentral's name for it is "partial 16S ribosomal RNA". It matches the Rfam family "Bacterial small subunit ribosomal RNA", at positions 524 to 776 of the family's 1533-position model. The record is from RNAcentral.